Molecule: transfer RNA, 55 nt
Filed under: Percus politus
Lineage: Eukaryota; Metazoa; Arthropoda; Insecta; Coleoptera; Carabidae
Description: tRNA-Leu
Source: RNAcentral
GUUAUUUUGGCAGAUUAGUGCAGUGAAUUUAGAAUUCGUAUAUGUAAAUUUUUAC